GACGAACGCUGGCGGCGUGCCUAACACAUGCAAGUCAACUUGACUGAAGGAGCAAUCUGACAGUAGAGUGGCGCAAGGGUGCGUAACGCGUAAGUAACUUGCCCAAGGUAAGGAAUAACGUCGAGAAAUCGGCGCUAAUACCUCAUAAUGCAGCGGAUCCGCAUGGAUAUGUUGUUAAAGGUUUACCGCCUUGGGAUAGGCUUGCGUCUGAUUAGCUAGUUGGUGUGGUAACGGCACACCAAGGCUACGAUCAGUAACUGGUCUGUGAGGAUGAUCAGUCACACUGGAACUGAGACACGGUCCAGACUCCUACGGGAGGCAGCAGUGAGGAAUAUUGGGCAAUGCUCGAAAGAGUGACCCAGCAACGCCGCGUGGAGGAUGAAGGUA
This 387-nucleotide ribosomal RNA is filed under the name uncultured bacterium. RNAcentral describes it as "bacterial SSU rRNA". It matches the Rfam family "Bacterial small subunit ribosomal RNA", at positions 28 to 416 of the family's 1533-position model. The record is from RNAcentral.